UAUUUAAAUUAAUAUAUAUACGGUAGGCCAGAUAUUUUUUUGGCUUGUUGUGGGAAACGUUGGUUAUUUUUGCACACUUUUUGCUGAGUGCGCUUGGAGACCUUUCUGCCUUUUAUCCGCAGCUUCUCAUCGUGCUUUGUCCAGUGCUUCCUACUUCUCUCCAACUCUGCUCCAACCAGCUCAAAUGGCAAUAUUUAUAACUUUGAUCGAAAGGGGAGGGGCUGGUUGGAGCUGGUGAGAUUAACAAAGACCACUCCACUUUGCUGAAACAUGAGAAUGUUUAAAAAGUACAUAUUUUUAAUGCAGAACAAAUGUUCUGUGUAUUUGUAUCAGAAGUGACCCACUUAUUUAAGGUUGAACAGCCUAAGUGGUUUGUUGUACAGUUCUGUAAAGUGUUUUUUAUGUUUGUUAGGAUGGGACCGUGAAGCUGUGGGAUUACAAAUCUGGCUGUUGUCUGCAGAGCUGGGACCUCAGGCUGUUUGAUGAAAACCCAAGUUCUGAUCCUGACAAAGAGAAGAACAUGGCUGUGUGUCGACUCACGAGCUCCUAUGAUGGUUGUCAUGUAGCUGUGUUGUG
Molecule: long non-coding RNA, 576 nt
Organism: Austrofundulus limnaeus
Lineage: Eukaryota; Metazoa; Chordata; Actinopteri; Cyprinodontiformes; Rivulidae
Exons: 2
Source: RefSeq, a predicted model, not a curated record